This 1233-nucleotide long non-coding RNA is filed under the name Heterocephalus glaber (naked mole-rat). RNAcentral describes it as "lncRNA (ENSHGLG00000026440.2)". Lineage: Eukaryota; Metazoa; Chordata; Mammalia; Rodentia; Bathyergidae. The record is from RNAcentral.
CUAAUUUGUACCAGGCCUUGAAUUGAUUGUUCUUCCUGCAUCAGCUCGUUUAAUUAUUACACUGAUCCUAUGUGGUGGGCAUGCUCAGUUAGUUCCAUUACUCGAGGAACUUAGGCUUGAACCAUCACACACCACAAGCCUGAACCCCAUGGUCAACCUGCCUGAAGCCCUGAUGACAGCCAGGAGUGAACCCUGGAUGAUCCGACAUCAAAGUUCGAACCACCACAGGCAUCGCCACCUUUUCUGGGUGAGGUUGCUCAUGAAAAGGGAUCCAACAAAAAUACAAGACUGCCACCUUUGCCUCCUCAUCCAGGACAGAGCAACUCUCCCUUUCCUUCUUGCAACAAAGGAGGCAAAACACACCCUCCCACCACCAUCCCUCAACUGAGCCAAGUGACGGAGGUCAGCAGUGCAAUUGUUUUGCUUAUAGGGAGGGACUCUGAAUUCGGUCAGUAGGUCACCUGCCCUCUCGGCCUGCACUCAGCUCCAUGCUGCCCAAACCCCUGUGAGUUUCCGUUUCAGAAUACUUCAGGCUUCAGCCAGCACAAACAUGUCACAGCAAGAGGGACAGUGAUUGUGUUUGUACACGCUAUUAGGAUAAGCACAAGCUUUAUUUGAUCUUCUUUUUUCAUAUUAAAAAAAUCUUUAUUAUUGCAUUACAACCAGAGGAAUUUAAUCUUUGACCUGCAGUUUCCCUCCUCUUGGUAAUAUAAAACCUCCAUUUCCAAUGAAGAGGAAAGGCUUGAUGGAAUUUUCUUCUCUGCCUUCAUUCCUAGGGGUGAGGUAAUUGACUAACAACACCUUUAGAAACAGUUUUAUACCAACUAAAAUAACAGAAAGGGGUCUUUGUAACAUGGAGGCAAGCAACGAAAACUCCUAGCAAAAUAAUGCAGAGAAAUAAUGAUUAGAAGGGAUCAGUAUCUAUGGAAGGAAGGUAGGUGGACCUUGCCAGUGUGUCACCCCAAGCCCACACCCUGUUGCUCUAUCUUCCUUCCAAUGGGCAGAAUGGUAGGAACUGGAUGCUCUGCAAUUGCCCUGUGUCCUCCUCAAACUUACAUUGAAAUCCUAACCCCCAAGUUGAUGGUGUUUGGAGGCGGGGCCCUUUGGAGGUCAUUAGGCCAUGGGGGAGGCAAGUUUGUAAAUGGGAUUCAUGCCCUUACAAAAGACCGCAGAAAGAUCCUACCCACCUUGUGAGGGUGGAAGGAGAAGACAGCUGUCCCCGAGGAAGCCAGU